Labeo rohita (rohu) is the source of this 345-nucleotide long non-coding RNA. RefSeq lists it as uncharacterized. Lineage: Eukaryota; Metazoa; Chordata; Actinopteri; Cypriniformes; Cyprinidae. The transcript is spliced from 4 exons. The record is from RefSeq and is a predicted model, not a curated record.
UAUGCGCAAUAUUGAGGUUGGCUCUUCAUGAUAUUUAAAAGGCACAAAAUCUUCAAACUUCCUGGUCGGAUAAGAACAGAGGCUUAGAGCAAACAAGACCAAUUGUUAUGAUUUUGAUUAUUUAUUAAUUUGAAGAAAUCUGUUGACCUAAAUAUCUGUAUUUUACUACAAACACUGACAAAGGAGGAAAAUGGAGAAUGUGGCUUUACUCGGGGACAAUGAGGAAAUAUCACAUGUGGCUUUACUCGGGGACAAUGAGGAAAUAUCACAUGUGGCUUUACUCGGGGACAAUGAGGAAAUAUCACAUGGUAAGACAUCAAUCUCACACCUUUGACAACUUUGUUU